This 379-nucleotide RNase P RNA is filed under the name Buchnera aphidicola (Melaphis rhois). RNAcentral's name for it is "RNase P RNA component class A". It matches the Rfam family "Bacterial RNase P class A". Rfam says of the family: Ribonuclease P (RNase P) is a ubiquitous endoribonuclease, found in archaea, bacteria and eukarya as well as chloroplasts and mitochondria. Its best characterised activity is the generation of mature 5'-ends of tRNAs by cleaving the 5'-leader elements of precursor-tRNAs. Cellular RNase Ps are ribonucleoproteins. The record is from RNAcentral. Lineage: Bacteria; Pseudomonadati; Pseudomonadota; Gammaproteobacteria; Enterobacterales; Erwiniaceae.
GAAGCUGAUCAGACAGUCGCUAUUAUCUAUCUCGAUUUAUAAAUAAAUAAUAGAGGAAAGUCCGGGCUCCAUAGGGCAAAGGUGCCAGAUAACAUCUGGGAAGCGCAAGCUUACGACCAGUGCAACAGAAAACAAACCACCUAUAAAUAUUAAAUAGUAUUAUAAGGAAAGGGUGAAAAGGUGAGGUAAGAGCUCACCGCAUACUUGGUAACCAGUAUGGCUAGGUAAACUCCACCUGGAGCAAAGCCAAAUAGGAGUAUUUAUGUAUUAAUUGCCCUUUUAAAUAAUACUCGGGUAGGCUGCUUGAGAUAAUAAGUAAUUAUUAUCCUAGAUAAAUGACUGUCUCACACAGAACCCGGCUUAUAGAUCAGCUUCUAAA